RNAcentral lists this ribosomal RNA (494 nucleotides) under uncultured bacterium. RNAcentral's name for it is "partial 16S ribosomal RNA". It matches the Rfam family "Bacterial small subunit ribosomal RNA", at positions 28 to 507 of the family's 1533-position model. The record is from RNAcentral.
GACGAACGCUGGCGGCGUGCUUAACACAUGCAAGUCGAACGGAAAGGCCUGCUUUCCCUUGUGGAUUGCGGGUACUCGAGUGGCGAACGGGUGAGUAACACGUGAGUGAUCUGCCCCCAACUUGGGUAUAAGCCUGGGAAACUGGGUCUAAUUCCCGAUAGGACUGCAGGGUGGUGCCUGUGGUGGAAAACGAUUUUCUAGUGGUUGGGGAUGAGCUCGCGGCCUAUCAGCUUGUUGGUGGGGUAAUGGCCUACCAAGGCGGCGACGGGUAGCCGGCCUGGGAGGGUGGACGGCCACAUUGGGACUGAGAUACGGCCCAGACUCCUACGGGAGGCAGCAGUGGGGAAUAUUGCACAAUGGGCGGAAGCCUGAGGCGGCGACGCCGCGUGGGGGAUGCCGGCCUUCGGGUUGUAAACUCCUUUCGACCGCGAGGAAGCCACCUGGUUGGAAGGGUGGUGACGGUAGUGGUAGAAGAAGCACCGGCUAACUACGUG